UUUGGUUACUCGACACCAACAUUGACGUCAUUGUCAUGGCAACACAGUCCCUCCUACCGCGAGCCCGGACAGACAUACGCUUAUUAUCCUAGCAGGGUAUCUGAUGACCGGCAGGGCAUGAGAUCUACCUAGAUCUCAAGCUUGAACCACAACCAAAAACCGCCCACAGGGCUACACCAAUCAGAGGUCAUAGAUGAGCUGUCCCAGAGGAAAAUGAAAGUCAGUAGUGGAGUUGAGAGUUACAUCACUGCCCUUCUUAUCAUAUCUCUGAACACUGCAUGGGAUCCUUAUUUCAGAUGAGCAGAGGGGUGUACCAGAGGACCACAGGUAUGUUCCUAUCUGGGGCAACAUGAUGUUUUUCACCAUGCUUCUGUGAUUCUUUACUGGUUAAUAGACCACCCACAACUUACUGUAAAAGUCAGUGUUUUUGUGGCGUGAUAAAUAGAAGAAUCAAUACACGCUCUGAUUAAUUUUAAAGGUUUCUGUGAAAUGUGUGUCUAGGUAGUUUUACUGGGCUGGAAAUUACAAAGGCUAUCAGCGCUUAAAAACGGAUGCUUGCAGGCUGGAUUGGCAGGUUUACAACACCUCGCCAUAUUGCCAAAAUAUGGAUUGCUUUUUUUUUCCAGUAUUUUACCUUGUGGCUACAAUCAGAGUGUGCUUGACCCAUAAACUAAGAAAUGGGCAUUCUUUCAUUUUGAGUUUCUUCACCAACUUUGUUGUUGUGGUCUGGAAAAAAACAAACAAGCUUUUUGUUGUGUUUUUUGCUUAUUUUCUGUCAAAUAUAUGCCAAUGCAAUGGAGAUCAAACACGGACAAUUUUUCAAGUAUGAACGUCAUGAGCGUGGGUUCCCUCCGGGUACUCCGGCUUCCUCCCACCGUCCAAAGACAUGCAACUUGUGGG
Molecule: long non-coding RNA, 900 nt
Organism: Haplochromis burtoni (Burton's mouthbrooder)
Lineage: Eukaryota; Metazoa; Chordata; Actinopteri; Cichliformes; Cichlidae
Exons: 3
Source: RefSeq, a predicted model, not a curated record